GAUGAACGCUGGCGGCGUGCCUAAUACAUGCAAGUCGAGCGAACAGACGAGGAGCUUGCUCCUCUGACGUUAGCGGCGGACGGGUGAGUAACACGUGGAUAACCUACCUAUAAGACUGGGAUAACUUCGGGAAACCGGAGCUAAUACCGGAUAAUAUAUUGAACCGCAUGGUUCAAUAGUGAAAGACGGUUUUGCUGUCACUUAUAGAUGGAUCCGCGCCGCAUUAGCUAGUUGGUAAGGUAACGGCUUACCAAGGCGACGAUGCGUAGCCGACCUGAGAGGGUGAUCGGCCACACUGGAACUGAGACACGGACCAGACUCCUACGGGAGGCAGCAGUAGGGAAUCUUCCGCAAUGGGCGAAAGCCUGACGGAGCAACGCCGCGUGAGUGAUGAAGGUCUUCGGAUCGUAAAACUCUGUUAUUAGGGAAGAACAAAUGUGUAAGUAACUAUGCACGUCUUGACGGUACCUAAUCAGAAAGCCACGGCUAACUACGUG
RNAcentral lists this ribosomal RNA (497 nucleotides) under uncultured bacterium. Its description in RNAcentral is "partial 16S ribosomal RNA". It matches the Rfam family "Bacterial small subunit ribosomal RNA", at positions 28 to 507 of the family's 1533-position model. The record is from RNAcentral.